Chiloscyllium plagiosum (whitespotted bambooshark) is the source of this 956-nucleotide non-coding RNA. The record is from RefSeq and is a predicted model, not a curated record. Lineage: Eukaryota; Metazoa; Chordata; Chondrichthyes; Orectolobiformes; Hemiscylliidae.
CAUUCUGUGUGAAAUCGUGGCCCAUAAUUUUCAGUACAGACUGAAAGAAUGCUGCAUUGAGUGAAGCUGAAAAAUAGAGUGAAGCAUUUCAGAUGCUUGAACACUUGGUUGAAGAAUCGAUUCUAACCAUCUCUAUUAAUCUGUAAAGAACUGAAAGGAUCUGGAAAGAAGAAAAUUGGAUAUCAGAAGGACUUAGAAGAUUCAAAAGGAAUCCAGUGGACUAAUGCUGUUGAACUAUAACUACUAUACCUGUUUGUUUGUCUGUGUCCAUCUACAUGUGUGCCAAGAUGACUGGAGUGCAGUUUUGAAGUCCAGAGGAGACCCAUGAAUGGAGAGUGACUGAUCAGAAUGGGAGCAAUCAUUGACGCAGUCCAUGAUGGUGCAGUUCUUAAGAAGGAGCUUCAAGGUCAAGUUUGGCAAACGUGAAGAAUUAUAAUUCCUUGUGAAGUUUGAUGAGAUUUAAUGACCCACCAUAUCAUUAACAUUUGCGGGAGAGCUGAGAAAUCCAUAGCCUCUGUCCUGAUUGCAAUUACUAUUUGAUAUGCUCUGUAGAGUGUUUGAUCACAGUCUAUUACCCGUAUUAAUCAACAGUUAAUUUUGGGUGUUAGAAAUAAGUGGUGUAUAAAUGAUAGAUUGUAUUACUGUACGAAUGUUGUAUAGUAAGGUUUACGGAUAUUUGUUCUAAAUCAUGGAAUUGUCUAGUAAGUUGGCUGGAGCUCACAUAUUGUCAAAUGUAAAAAUAGUAGCAUUGUUAUUCCUUUUGCACAAAAUAAUGAUUUUGGAAGGUUGGAUAUUGGAGAAUUCAAUAAGGGCUACUCAACAUGAAGAUGUCUUAAAAGAGAAAAGGCAGAACAUCUUCAGGACUUGUCAGGUCAAUAUUCACUUGUCCGCCAUUAGUCUGAGUAACAAUGUCUAAUAUACUCAAAUAAUUUGUACCUGAUUGCUAUCAUGCAAUA